UCCAGACUCCUACGGGAGGCAGCAGUGGGGAAUAUUGCACAAUGGGCGCAAGCCUGAUGCAGCCAUGCCGCGUGUGUGAAGAAGGCCUUCGGGUUGUAAAGCACUUUCAGUUGUGAGGAAGGUGGUGUUGUGAAUAGCAGCAUCAUUUGACGUUAGCAACAGAAGAAGCACCGGCUAACUCCGUGCCAGCAGCCGCGGUAAUACGGAGGGUGCGAGCGUUAAUCGGAAUUACUGGGCGUAAAGCGCAUGCAGGUGGUUUGUUAAGUCAGAUGUGAAAGCCCCGGGCUCAACCUGGGAAUUGCAUUUGAAACUGGCAAACUAGAGUACUGUAGAGGGGGGUAGAAUUUCAGGUGUAGCGGUGAAAUGCGUAGAGAUCUGAAGGAAUACCGGUGGCGAAGGCGGCCCCCUGGACAGAUACUGACACUCAGAUGCGAAAGCGUGGGGAGCAAACAGGAUUAGAUACCCUGGUAGUCCACGCCGUAAACGAUGUCUACUUGGAGGUUGUGGCCUUGAGCCGUGGCUUUCGGAGCUAACGCGUUAAGUAGACCGCCUGGGGAGUACGGUCGCAAGAUUAAAACUCAAAUGAAUUGACGGGGGCCCGCACAAGCGGUGGAGCAU
This 618-nucleotide ribosomal RNA is filed under the name Vibrio navarrensis. RNAcentral describes it as "bacterial SSU rRNA". It matches the Rfam family "Bacterial small subunit ribosomal RNA", at positions 330 to 940 of the family's 1533-position model. Lineage: Bacteria; Pseudomonadati; Pseudomonadota; Gammaproteobacteria; Vibrionales; Vibrionaceae. The record is from RNAcentral.